UGGGGGAGUAUUGCACAAUGGGGGAAACCCUGAUGCAGCGACGCCGCGUGGGUGAAGGAGCACUUCGGUGCGUAAAGCCCUAUCGGCAGGGAAGAAAAGGGGGAAACCCCAGACGGUACCUGACUAAGAAGCCCCGGCUAACUACGUGCC
This 150-nucleotide ribosomal RNA is filed under the name uncultured bacterium. RNAcentral's name for it is "partial 16S ribosomal RNA". It matches the Rfam family "Bacterial small subunit ribosomal RNA", at positions 354 to 509 of the family's 1533-position model. The record is from RNAcentral.